UACAGGGGGUGCAACCGUUGCUCGGAAUUAUUGGGCGUAAAGCGCGCGUAGGCGGCUACUUAAGUCGGAUGUGAAAGCCCUUGGCUCAACUGGGGAAGUGCACCCGAAACUGAGUGGCUUGAGUACUAAAGAGGGUCGCGGAAUUCCCGGUGUAGAGGUGAAAUUCGUAGAUAUCAGGAGGAACACCGGUGGCGAAGGCGGGUCUCUGGGCCGAUAUUGACGCUGAGGAGCGAAAGCGUGGGGAGCGAACAGG
RNAcentral lists this ribosomal RNA (253 nucleotides) under uncultured bacterium. Its description in RNAcentral is "partial 16S ribosomal RNA". It matches the Rfam family "Bacterial small subunit ribosomal RNA", at positions 524 to 776 of the family's 1533-position model. The record is from RNAcentral.